GCACCCGUAGUUCAAUGGCAGAACUCCAGCUUCCCAAGCUGGUCACACGGGUUCGAUUCCCGCCGGGUGCUCCA
Molecule: transfer RNA, 74 nt
Filed under: Bacillota bacterium
Lineage: Bacteria; Bacillati; Bacillota
Description: tRNA-Gly
Rfam family: tRNA
About the family: Transfer RNA (tRNA) molecules are approximately 80 nucleotides in length.
Source: RNAcentral